CGUAGGGCGCAAGCGUUGUCCGGAAUUAUUGGGCGUAAAGAGCUCGUAGGCGGCUUGUCACGUCGGGUGUGAAAGCCCGGGGCUUAACCCCGGGUCUGCAUUCGAUACGGGCAGGCUAGAGUGUGGUAGGGGAGAUCGGAAUUCCUGGUGUAGCGGUGAAAUGCGCAGAUAUCAGGAGGAACACCGGUGGCGAAGGCGGAUCUCUGGGCCAUUACUGACGCUGAGGAGCGAAAGCGUGGGGAGCGAACGGG
RNAcentral lists this ribosomal RNA (251 nucleotides) under uncultured bacterium. Its description in RNAcentral is "partial 16S ribosomal RNA". It matches the Rfam family "Bacterial small subunit ribosomal RNA", at positions 526 to 776 of the family's 1533-position model. The record is from RNAcentral.